Non-coding RNA from Rhincodon typus (whale shark), 82 nucleotides. Lineage: Eukaryota; Metazoa; Chordata; Chondrichthyes; Orectolobiformes; Rhincodontidae. The record is from the annotation of a RefSeq genome assembly.
GUAAUUGUGGCCGAGUGGUUAAGGUGCUGGAUUAGAAAUCUAUUGGGGUUUCCCUGCGCAGGUUCGAAUCCUGCCAACUACA